AGUGUGUACAAGAGACAGUGAGAGAGAGCACAAGGAGAAGGGGAGGGGCAGAGGGAAAAGCACACUCCCCACUGAGCAGGGACCCCCCCUAGUGUGGGGCUUGAUCCCUGGACUCAGGAUCAUGAACUGAGUUGAAGGCAAAUGCUUAACUGACUGAACCACCCAGGCUUCCCUAGACUUUCAAAUGUAUUUAGAUUUUGGCAUUACAAGCCUUUUUUCCAAAGAAAUAGUAUGCAGAAAUCUGUGUAAACAGAUGAAAGUGAAAUAUCUCUGAUUGAAGUGAGCACUACUCCUUCCCUAUUCUAGGUUGGAACUUCUUGGGCCUCCCCAUCCUGGGGCCCAGAGCCCUUGAGACUCUACCAGCUAUCUUGGGAUAAGCCUAGGAAACUUCUGGACCAGUUGCUUCCCAAAGAUCCUGCUCACUGACACUUCCAAAUCUGCUUUAUCUGGAUAUGGAGCACACCCAGAGUAAUUGGUCUGCUUUAAUUUGUGAGCCCUGGGAACUGAGUCACUGAACUGGACACAUUUCUUCCUACCAAAGCAGUCUCUGUUAGUGAGAAGAAGAUUGAGAGCAAUCAUAUGGCAAAAUCCUGUGAACAGGGAAAAUCCAAGGCAGAAGACCAGAGGCAUUCACAGAAGAAUCCCUGGAUAUUUGGUAGAUGGUGAGUACUCAUGGCAUAUGGAUGGAUACCAGUAUUUCAUGCUAUGGUCUUUUUGUUUUUCUU
RNAcentral lists this long non-coding RNA (725 nucleotides) under Vulpes vulpes (red fox). Its description in RNAcentral is "lncRNA (ENSVVUG00000014106.1)". Lineage: Eukaryota; Metazoa; Chordata; Mammalia; Carnivora; Canidae. The record is from RNAcentral.